This 520-nucleotide ribosomal RNA is filed under the name uncultured Diversispora. RNAcentral describes it as "SSU rRNA". It matches the Rfam family "Eukaryotic small subunit ribosomal RNA", at positions 569 to 1090 of the family's 1831-position model. Lineage: Eukaryota; Fungi; Glomeromycota; Glomeromycetes; Diversisporales; Diversisporaceae. The record is from RNAcentral.
AGCAGCCGCGGUAAUUCCAGCUCCAAUAGCGUAUAUUAAAGUUGUUGCAGUUAAAAAGCUCGUAGUUGAACUUCGGGGUCUACCCAUUGGUCAGGCUUAAUUGUCUGCACUGGUGAGAUGGAUCUCUACCUUCUGAGGAACUUUCAUGCCAUUUAUUUGGUGUGGUUGGAAAUCAGGACUGUUACUUUGAAAAAUUAGAGUGUUUAAAGCAGACUAUCGUCUGAAUACAUUAGCAUGGAAUAAUGAAAUAGGACGGACUGAUUCUAUUUCGUUGGUUUCUAGGAUCACCGUAAUGAUUAAUAGGGAUAGUUGGGGGCAUUAGUAUUCAAUUGUCAGAGGUGAAAUUCUUGGAUUUAUUGAAGACCUAACUACUGCGAAAGCAUUUGCCAAGGAUGUUUUCAUUAAUCAAGAACGGAAGUUAGGGGAUCGAAGACGAUCAGAUACCGUCGUAGUCUUAACCAUAAACUAUGCCGACUAGGGAUCGGACGAAGUUAAUUUUAUAAUGACGCGUUUCGGCUAA